UACACGCUUCCACGAUGCACAACAAAAAUUAUGUUUAAAUACCAGUGCUUUGCUAGAAGUUAACAGCUCAAUAUUUAUGUGUAUAAUUGUUGAUUUAAUUUUGACAUUAAUUUGUAACUAAAAUAGGCUGGCCCAGGCAUUGGCGGAAUGCCUUAGUGCGUUAUGGUUUCAACACAGGCACGACCAGUUUCCUUUGUCUUGUUAAGCUACGUAUAUGACUUGUCUUUGCACAAUUUUAAGCACUGUUAUAUUUUUGGGAUCCCGCUCCUUCAAAAUUGUCUCAAGGGACCAAAAUGGCUGCCUUUUGUAGUUGGGGUAGGUCUUCUACCGUUAUUAAUUUUCAUUUUGAAUCUUUUGAGCAAGAAAGGCCUACCAUUUGUUUCUGGAAAUAAAUGACCAGUAUCAUCUUAGGCCUACUAUUUUCAUUUUUACUUCCAUUCUCACCUCCCUGUUUUCUCUAUUUUCCCGCUCUGAUCUUUCUAGCUAACAAAGUUGGCUUGAAAUUCUGCUGUAGUUGAGAACAUCGGAGCUACUGCAUUGUAAUAGAACCACUUUCUACACUUAAAAAAUGUUAGUCUGAUAUGAAAUUGCUUACACUGUUACAGUUUGUGAUCUUAACCAUUUGAUCUCUGCAACCAUGAGUUCAGCAUGCGUGAUCUUUGUGCUGUUCUUGGAAUGGAUUUCUUCAGUAUCAUAACUAAAGUUCAUCCAAGCAUAAAUGACUCUACUAGUGUGCACUCCAGAAGCAUUAGUAAUGAUGCAUUAGCAAGGGUGGCUAAGACGGUCUUAACACUAUAAGAUACGAAGCAAAGGCUUCAUAAGGAUUCCAGUCUUGUAUGGUAUUGAGUACUGACUUUCCCUUUUCUUCAAGAAAAGACUUAACCUUUAGACCACAAGCAAAUCAAAAUUCAGCAAUGGAGAGAUUCCGGAAAGGAUAACUUGAUUCUGCUUAGACCCUUACAAUUUCACAUAAGCAUACUUGAAGAAAUUUCAACCAUUUCAAUAAGUUUGUGCAUGCUUGUUAUCACCAAUAUCAUAGCAUAUGAAGAAACUUUUUCUUUUCUUUGUAAUUUACUUUUGAA
RNAcentral lists this unclassified non-coding RNA (1082 nucleotides) under Hevea brasiliensis (rubber tree). The record is from RNAcentral. Lineage: Eukaryota; Viridiplantae; Streptophyta; Magnoliopsida; Malpighiales; Euphorbiaceae.